RNAcentral lists this ribosomal RNA (160 nucleotides) under uncultured bacterium. RNAcentral describes it as "partial 16S ribosomal RNA". It matches the Rfam family "Bacterial small subunit ribosomal RNA", at positions 1342 to 1500 of the family's 1533-position model. The record is from RNAcentral.
UGGCAGGUCAGCAUACUGCCGUGAAUACGUUCCCGGGCCCUUGUACACACCGCCCCGUCACACCAUGAGAGUUGGGAAUACCCGAAGCCUGUGAGCUAACUUAUAGAGGCAGCAGUCGAAGGUAGAAUCAAUGAUUGGGGUGAAGUCGUAACAAGGUACC